ACCCACUGAGCCACCCAGGCACUCUCAAGUAUCUUUUCUGAACAUAAUGGUUAUGAAACUAGAAAUCAAUUACCAGAAGAAAACUGGGAAAAUCA
This is a long non-coding RNA of Mustela erminea (ermine), 95 nucleotides long. RefSeq lists it as uncharacterized. The record is from RefSeq and is a predicted model, not a curated record. The transcript is spliced from 3 exons. Lineage: Eukaryota; Metazoa; Chordata; Mammalia; Carnivora; Mustelidae.